GCCGCUUCGGUGGUGGAUUAGUGGCGAACGGGUGAGUAACACGUGGGCAAUCUGCCCUUCACUCUGGGACAAGCCCUGGAAACGGGGUCUAAUACCGGAUAAUACUCCUGCCUGCAUGGGUGGGGGUUGAAAGCUCCGGCGGUGAAGGAUGAGCCCGCGGCCUAUCAGCUUGUUGGUGGGGUAAUGGCCUACCAAGGCGACGACGGGUAGCCGGCCUGAGAGGGCGACCGGCCACACUGGGACUGAGACACGGCCCAGACUCCUACGGGAGGCAGCAGUGGGGAAUAUUGCACAAUGGGCGAAAGCCUGAUGCAGCGACGCCGCGUGAGGGAUGACGGCCUUCGGGUUGUAAACCUCUUUCAGCAGGGAAGAAGCGCAAGUGACGGUACCUGCAGAAGAAGCGCCGGCUAACUACGUGCCAGCAGCCGCGGUAAUACGUAGGGCGCAAGCGUUGUCCGGAAUUAUUGGGCGUAAAGAGCUCGUAGGCGGCUUGUCACGUCGGAUGUGAAAGCCCGGGGCUUAACCCCGGGUCUGCAUUCGAUACGGGCUAGCUAGAGUGUGGUAGGGGAGAUCGGAAUUCCUGGUGUAGCGGUGAAAUGCGCAGAUAUCAGGAGGAACACCGGUGGCGAAGGCGGAUCUCUGGGCCAUUACUGACGCUGAGGAGCGAAAGCGUGGGGAGCGAACAGGAUUAGAUACCCUGGUAGUCCACGCCGUAAACGUUGGGAACUAGGUGUUGGCGACAUUCCACGUCGUCGGUGCCGCAGCU
This 766-nucleotide ribosomal RNA is filed under the name Kitasatospora sp. RNAcentral describes it as "bacterial SSU rRNA". It matches the Rfam family "Bacterial small subunit ribosomal RNA", at positions 74 to 853 of the family's 1533-position model. The record is from RNAcentral. Lineage: Bacteria; Bacillati; Actinomycetota; Actinomycetes; Kitasatosporales; Streptomycetaceae.